AAUUUCAACUUCUAAUCUGACCAUUCAAACCCUAAAUGGUUUGGAUUCAAAAUAUAAUCCAGUAGUUGUAAAACUAUCUGAUCAAACUACACUCAGUUGGGUGGAUUUAUAAGCUCAAUUGCUAAACUUUGAAA
Non-coding RNA from Cicer arietinum (chickpea), 134 nucleotides. Lineage: Eukaryota; Viridiplantae; Streptophyta; Magnoliopsida; Fabales; Fabaceae. The record is from Rfam.